GGGGGCGGGGCCUUGAGGCCGGGCGCUAGGGCGGCGGAGGUUUCGGCUGCCUCGGCUGGCGUUCGGCUCUCUAGGACCUGUCGCACUGCUCGGGUCGGGGGCAGCUCCCUGUUGUCUCCGAGCAGAGCUGCUUGCUGCUGGGCCUUCAGCGACUGCAAGCAGACCACACCGCCCUCCGGAAACGAUGGGUGUCGCUAGACCCAGCUGGGACUCCGCCAGGCUCCGGGGCUCAGUCUGAGGGCCUUCUCCGAGGCCUGCUCUCCUUGUCUGUCAUGGCCACACUCCGAUGCUGCCCGCCGGUCUGGGCACACAGGGCACCCAGUCCCAGCCCUGAGGGGUUAAGCCAGGCUUUCUGGCUCCAUUCCAUCGGGGAACUGCAGGCCCCAGGCUUCUUUCAGAGCAAGAGCAACUGAUGGCAUGGGAGAAGCCCCUGCCCGCCUGUGCACUCUCCUGGCACUGCCCACUCUGAGACCCAUGCACAGGGUCCUCCUGCAGGUGCCAACCCCGUGAGUCCCUCCCCGUCCCCGAACGCUGAGAAGGCCCUGCCCACCCCCACCAUGUGUGAGGUGAUGCCCACAAUCAAUGAGGGGGACCCCCUGGGACCCCCGCAUGGCGCCGAUGCAGACGCCAACUUUGAGCAGCUUAUGGUGAACAUGUUGGAUGAGCGGGAGAAGUUGCUGGAGUCGCUUCGGGAGAGUCAGGAAACCUUGGCAGCCACGCAGAGCCGGCUCCAGGACGCCCUGCAUGAGCGGGACCAGCUCCAGCGCCACCUUAACUCCGCCCUCCCCCAGGAAUUUGCCACAUUAAACCGGGAGCUGAGCAUGUGUCGUGAACAGCUUCUAGAGCGGGAGGAAGAGAUAUCAGAGCUGAAAGCAGAACGGAACAACACAAGGCUGCUUCUGGAACAUCUGGAGUGCCUAGUGUCCCGCCACGAGCGGUCCCUGCGGAUGACUGUGGUGAAACGCCAGGCCCAGUCACCUUCGGGGGUCUCCAGUGAAGUGGAGGUGCUAAAGGCCCUCAAGUCCCUGUUUGAGCACCACAAGGCCCUGGAUGAGAAGGUACGAGAGCGGCUCCGGGCAGCGCUGGAGCGAGUUACCACCUUGGAGGAGCAGCUGGCAGGAGCCCACCAGCAGGUGUCUGCCCUGCAGCAGGGAGCAGGGGUUCGGGAUGGAGUGGCAGAAGAGGAGGGGACUGUGGAGCUGGGACCAAAACGCCUAUGGAAGGAGGAUGUGGGCCGGAUAGAGGAGCUACAAGAGCUCUUGGAGAAGCAGAACUUUGAGUUGAGCCAGGCCAGAGAACGACUGGUCACCCUGACAGCAGCUGUGACAGAGCUUGAAGAGGACCUGGGCACAGCCCGCCGGGACCUUAUCAAGUCAGAGGAGCUGAGCAGCAAGCACCAGCGUGACCUCCGUGAGGCUCUGGCCCAGAAGGAGGACAUGGAGGAGCGAAUCACCACCCUAGAGAAGCGCUACCUGGCUGCUCAGCGUGAGGCCACAUCCAUCCAUGACCUCAAUGACAAACUGGAGAAUGAGCUGGCCAACAAGGAGUCCCUACAUCGCCAGUGUGAGGAGAAGGCCCGACACCUGCAGGAGCUGCUGGAGGUGGCGGAGCAGAAGCUGCAACAGACAAUGCGCAAGGCAGAGACACUGCCGGAGGUGGAGGCUGAGCUGGCCCAGAGGAUUGCAGCCCUCACCAAGGCUGAAGAACGGCACGGAAACAUAGAGGAACAUCUGCGGCAGCUGGAAGGGCAGCUGGAGGAGAAGAACCAGGAGCUGGCAAGGGUGCGCCAGCGGGAGAAGAUGAACGAGGACCACAACAAGAGGCUGUCAGACACUGUGGACCGGCUGCUUAGCGAGUCAAACGAACGCCUGCAGCUGCACCUCAAAGAGCGCAUGGCAGCCCUGGAGGAGAAGAACACGCUGAUCCAGGAGUUGGAGAGCUCUCAGCGCCAGAUCGAAGAGCAGCAUCACCACAAGGGCCGCCUGUCUGAAGAGAUUGAGAAGCUAUGUCAAGAGGUGGACCAGCUGAAGGGUCGAGGGGGGCAGUUUGUGGAUGGUAUCCACUCCAGGUCGCACAUGGGCAGUGCAGCAGACAUAAGGUUCUCCUUGAGCACCACCAUCCGCGGACCCCCAAGUGUGCAUCGCCGCUAUUCCACCCGAAGGGAAGAAUCAGCCAAGGACUGGGAGCUGUCUCCACUGCCUGGUAUGCUGGCUCCCAAGGCCACUGCUGCCUUUGACAGCGACCCUGAGAUCUCUGACAUGGAAGAGGAUGAGCCGGGGGCUCUUGUGGGCUCUGUCGAUGUUGUCUCUCCCAGUGGCCACUCAGAUGCCCAGACUUUGGCCGUGAUGCUGCAGGAACAACUGGAUGCCAUCAAUGAAGAGAUCAGGAUGAUCCAGGAAGAAAAGGAGUCCACAGAGCUCCGCGCAGAAGAGAUUGAGACGCGUGUAACCAGCGGCAGCAUGGAAGCCCUUAACUUGACACAGCUGCGGAAGCGUGGUUCCAUCCCCACCUCACUGACUGCCCUGUCCCUGGCCAGUGCAUCUCCUCCACUCAGUGGCCGCUCCACACCGAAGCUCACCUCCCGCAGUGCUGCCCAGGACCUGGACCGAAUGGGGAUCAUGACCUUGCCCAGUGACUUAAGAAAGCAUAGGCGGAAGCUGCUGUCGCCAGUGUCUCGGGAAGAGAACCGAGAGGAUAAAGCCACCAUAAAAUGUGAGACUUCUCCUCCUUCCUCACCCAGGACGCUGCGGCUAGAGAAGCUUGGCCACCCAGCCCUGAGCCAGGAGGAAGGCAAGAGUGCCUUGGAAGAUCAAGGCAGCAACCCCAGCAGCAGCAACAGCAGCCAGGACUCGUUGCACAAGGGCGCCAAGCGCAAGGGCAUCAAGUCAUCCAUUGGCCGGCUGUUUGGGAAGAAGGAGAAGGGCAGGCUGAUCCAGCUGAGUCGGGAUGGAGCCACAGGCCAUGUUCUGCUCACAGACUCCGAGCUCAGUCUGCAGGAGCCUAUGGUGCCUGCUAAGUUGGGGACCCAAGCAGAGAAGGACCGGCGGCUGAAGAAGAAACACCAGCUGCUUGAAGAUGCCCGAAGAAAAGGAAUGCCCUUUGCCCAGUGGGAUGGUCCCACAGUGGUCUCCUGGCUGGAGCUCUGGGUGGGGAUGCCUGCUUGGUAUGUGGCAGCCUGCCGGGCCAACGUCAAGAGUGGUGCCAUCAUGUCCGCCCUGUCAGACACAGAAAUCCAGCGGGAAAUUGGCAUCAGCAAUGCCCUGCACCGGCUCAAGUUGCGGCUGGCCAUCCAGGAGAUGGUAUCACUCACCAGUCCCUCUGCCCCUCCCACCUCGAGAACGUCUUCCGGGAAUGUCUGGGUCACCCAUGAGGAGAUGGAGACUCUGGCAACGUCCACCAAAACAGACAGUGAGGAGGGCAGCUGGGCUCAGACCUUGGCCUAUGGAGACAUGAACCAUGAGUGGAUUGGGAAUGAGUGGCUGCCUAGCCUGGGGCUCCCCCAGUACCGGAGCUACUUCAUGGAGUGCCUGGUGGAUGCACGCAUGCUGGACCACCUCACCAAGAAGGACCUGCGUGUCCACCUGAAGAUGGUGGACAGCUUCCAUCGAACCAGUCUUCAGUACGGCAUCAUGUGUCUGAAGAGGCUGAACUAUGAUCGGAAGGAAUUGGAGAAGAGGCGGGAGGAGAGCCAGCAUGAGACCAAGGAUGUGCUGGUCUGGACCAACGACCAAGUGGUUCAUUGGGUCCAGUCCAUUGGGCUUCGGGACUACGCGGGCAACCUUCAUGAGAGUGGUGUCCACGGUGCCCUGCUGGCCCUUGAUGAGAACUUUGACCACAACACCCUGGCUUUGGUCCUGCAGAUCCCCACACAGAACACCCAGGCCCGCCAGGUGAUGGAGAGAGAGUUCAAUAACCUUUUGGCCUUGGGCACAGACCGGAAGCUGGAUGACGGGGAGGACAAGGUGUUCCGGCGCGCGCCCUCCUGGAGGAAACGCUUCCGGCCGCGGGACCACCACAGCAGCGGCCUGCUCGGCGCCUCGGCCGAGACCCUGCCGGCCGCCUUCCGCGUGUCCACCCUGGGGCCCCUGCAGCCCCCCGCGGCCCCGCCCAAGAAGAUGCUGCCCGAAGCCGGGACGGCGGGGGCGCAGAGACUGGAGACCUCCACGGUUCGGACCUACUCCUGCUGACCCCCCUGCCUCCCGCCCGCCCCGGGUCCGUCGGGGUGUGCCCCCGGCUCGGGCUCACUCCCACUAUCUCUACGGACACAUGCUCUCCGCCUUCCGGGACUAGCCAUGGCCCUCAGGGCUGGCGUCUACCUGGUUUCACAGGCCCAGCCGGCCCUGACCUUUCCUGCUCGGUCCCUUAUCUCCCGCGACUCCUAGUCUCGUCUGUGACUUUCCAGUUGCCCUGGAUCUCAAGAAUAUACUCAUCCAGCCCCUCGGCAUCCUAGUACCCCGACUCCCACUGCGUGUCCUUUGUAAGUCUCCUGGAUGUGGCCGGGGUCUCCCGCUGUAGUGUAGGUGCCCUGGUUGCCCAUGCUUGGGAUUCUCCGGGAGGGAGGAAGGGCAGCCCAGGGUGGGUAUGAUGCCACCCAGGCUCUUCUGGACCUAUUUCGGGCUGGACUUCACCCUCCUCCAAGGUCAGGAUACUGGGCCAAGGACCGAGAUGGUGCAUCCAGGAAAGGGGCACUGCAGACUCUGUUCUGCUUGAGUUAUGCUGCCUCGUGGUCCCUGGCCACUCUGGUUCUUGUACCAGGUGGUCUGAGGUUGAUUUUGACACCUCCAACAUCAUACUUCCUCUAAACCAUCACCACAAGUUGAAAAUCCUGCCUUUAGGACUUGCUUGGGGGCUGAAGAGAUGUAGGAGAUCACAUUUUUUCUCAUAAUGGCGAGGCCAGGAGAAGAGCUAAAGUAGAAAUUCGGGAACUGAGCUUACACUGAAUCCUAAAUGUGAGUUUAGGAAGAGUCAAGAGGAGAUGAACCUCAGAGCAAUAGGCCAGGGUGACAGAGGGUGGGGAAACUCUCAGCCCUUGCUUGGUGAGAAGUGUAAGCAAGCAGGAGGGAGGGCUGAUGGCCUCUGGUAGCCUGAAGCCCAAAGGGCGGUUGGAAUGCCCCCACCCUGGAGGGAUCUCAGCCCCAGAGGCAGAACAGAUCUAACUGUGCUGCUAACUCUACCACCAGCAAUCUUUUCCUGCUGUCCCACUCACUCCCUAAUCUCAGCCUUAUGAGAGUAAACCUCAUGGGAGGACUGAAUAUGUGUUGACCCUAAAAUCAGGUUUGGGAAAGAGGCAGUCUGGAAUUUCCUUCCUAUGACCUGCCAGGGAGAAAAUAAAGCUUCCUUUUCAUUGAAUCACGUCCCUGAUUCAGGAAAUCCAGUAUUGAAGGCAGUUAUACCUCCUUAUCUUCAAAUCAUCCAGCCCUUGACUGGGUUGUCCUGGGACUGCUUUCUCUCUAGAAAUUCCUCAGACCCACCCAGCUUCCGUCACUUUAAUCUCUCCCUAGCAGCAAGGUAGGAACUGGGUUAGAGGGAUGCAGGUGCUGGUUGGGAGGACUGUUAUUCCCAAGAAAUUCCUCUUCUUCACCUAUUCUUCUAAUUUAAUAGGGGGCUUAAAAAUGUUUGGGAGGAUGAUGGGACAUUGGGCUUCCUUGGAGAGGAGAGGAAAAGCAUCAGGCACGUUUAUUGGAAAAGGUCCAGCACAAUGCCAUCCUACAGGUGGCUGGAGCAGCUGGUUUGUGACCUGAUCCAUUUGGGUUGAGCAAGGGCUGGACUAGCAGGUGGGGCAGUAGGCCAAAGCACCCGUCCAGAGGAGGGAUAGAGAGCUGUGCCAUGUCUUAGAGCCUGUUGCUGCUACCUGCUAGAAGAGAGCCCAGUAGGGUAUGUAGGUAGACUCUUGCCUGGGCUGGGGCAGGCAGCCACCUGCCCUUGCUCUUGUUCCUUGUUUACUGCCCUUCCUGUCAGGCCAUUGGGAAUGACAGUAGAAAAUUAUUGAGCAGAAAAUGAAUUGGAUAGAGAGAAAGAGCCCAAUGUCAGGGAAAUGAAUGCUGAAAUUAGAGAGAAAGUCCAGGUUCCUAAGAUUGGUGGAGUUCAGCACUAAAAGGCCAUCUGACUGCUUCAGGGGACUGCCUGUCCAUGGGGUAGGCAUAAAGGACGGUCAGCCCCAGCUUGUCCUCCCUACAACAGCCAUGUCGUAAUGCAGCAAGUUGGGGGAGCCAGGUCCAUCCAGGGCCCCUUGGGAAGGACUGCAGUGAGGGGACGGAGGAGAGGAAACUGCACAGUGAUGGAUGGCUGUUGUCUCGGUGUACCCUUGCCUCAUAGUUGAUGCAUUUUCUUUGGAGAGUCACAGUGACCCAAGCCCUCCUCGCCAGCCUCCAUGUCUCCCCAGUUCUUCUCUGUACUGUAUUGGCUCAGUGCAUUGGAGCAGGUGUGUGGAUGCGUGUGGGGUGUGAGUGUGGGUGUGUACAUACCAAUAAACAACCUGGUUUUAAGACAACAUACAAA
This is an RNA transcript of Cavia porcellus (domestic guinea pig), 6498 nucleotides long. It is a transcript of the gene named PTPRF interacting protein alpha 4, with no coding region annotated. The record is from RefSeq and is a predicted model, not a curated record. The transcript has 31 exons. Lineage: Eukaryota; Metazoa; Chordata; Mammalia; Rodentia; Caviidae.